This 666-nucleotide ribosomal RNA is filed under the name Escherichia coli. RNAcentral describes it as "partial 23S ribosomal RNA". It matches the Rfam family "Bacterial large subunit ribosomal RNA", at positions 2265 to 2925 of the family's 2925-position model. RNAcentral also lists the same sequence under 3 other names. Lineage: Bacteria; Pseudomonadati; Pseudomonadota; Gammaproteobacteria; Enterobacterales; Enterobacteriaceae. The record is from RNAcentral.
GUAGUUUGACUGGGGCGGUCUCCUCCUAAAGAGUAACGGAGGAGCACGAAGGUUGGCUAAUCCUGGUCGGACAUCAGGAGGUUAGUGCAAUGGCAUAAGCCAGCUUGACUGCGAGCGUGACGGCGCGAGCAGGUGCGAAAGCAGGUCAUAGUGAUCCGGUGGUUCUGAAUGGAAGGGCCAUCGCUCAACGGAUAAAAGGUACUCCGGGGAUAACAGGCUGAUACCGCCCAAGAGUUCAUAUCGACGGCGGUGUUUGGCACCUCGAUGUCGGCUCAUCACAUCCUGGGGCUGAAGUAGGUCCCAAGGGUAUGGCUGUUCGCCAUUUAAAGUGGUACGCGAGCUGGGUUUAGAACGUCGUGAGACAGUUCGGUCCCUAUCUGCCGUGGGCGCUGGAGAACUGAGGGGGGCUGCUCCUAGUACGAGAGGACCGGAGUGGACGCAUCACUGGUGUUCGGGUUGUCAUGCCAAUGGCACUGCCCGGUAGCUAAAUGCGGAAGAGAUAAGUGCUGAAAGCAUCUAAGCACGAAACUUGCCCCGAGAUGAGUUCUCCCUGAGACUUAGAGUCUCCUGAAGGAACGUUGAAGACGACGACGUUGAUAGGCCGGGUGUGUAAGCGCAGCGAUGCGUUGAGCUAACCGGUACUAAUGAACCGUGAGGCUUAACCUU